Long non-coding RNA from Bufo gargarizans (Asiatic toad), 986 nucleotides. RefSeq lists it as uncharacterized. The record is from RefSeq and is a predicted model, not a curated record. Lineage: Eukaryota; Metazoa; Chordata; Amphibia; Anura; Bufonidae. The transcript has 3 exons.
UUGAAGAACGCUGGUACUACUGCCUGGGCAAGCGACAGGUUGCAGAUGUCAGUAAAGACCCCUGCAAGCUGCUCAGCCGUCAGGGCCAGCAGCCUUGCGAGCUUGAUGCUGCUCAGUGCGUUAUGGACAUCUGUGAUGGUGAGAGUAAAGGCACGAACCCCAGCGGAGCACUCCAUUAUAAAGGGAAAUAUUCCCGCCAUUAAUCCUCUAUCAAGAUUACAGAUUCUUCCCGCCUCAAAACUGGACAGAACCGGACAGAACCACUCAUGCCAAGCACAGUUGACCCCAAUAUGACCAAGCUGGUUGCUGGUGGGGUAGUGCUUCAGCAUGCCGAAUAUGAAGAGCCUAGAAGCAGUGUAAAGAUAUAAAGGCCAUGUCCACAUGUCGCAAUAUUGAAAAUCAUUAUAAAAUCACAAUGUGACUGAAAGCGCCCCCCGCAAGAAACGAAAAAUGGCACGUUGUGUGACCACACAGGUUGCACAUAGCUGGAAUGGAGCGGGGUCACCUCACUUUAGAUACAAGUGGAAUUUACAAACACGGACAACUUCUCUCAACUCUCUAACUCUCAUUCCUUUCGACGGGGAGAGGCCAAUGUGACAUUUUAAUGUCUGUCAUAAAAGUAUUCCCUAGAAAACCUCUUGAAAAGUUCUGCUUCACAAACAAGGACAUUGUAUGGAAUUAUUUCCAGUCAUACAGAAGUUCAGAGAAACAUCUGGAAAAUGUAGAUUUCUUCAUCCCUAGGAGGACCUAUAAAGAUUUACAGUUCAAGUAGGGGAAUCAUAAAGCGGGUCUAGAUUACGCUGCUUGUAAUCUAUUCUAUUCUAAUGCCUAUAUAACAGCUGAGAGGCCUUAACGUUUCCCAGAGUUUGUACUGCAGAGCAGACACCAGCAGUUCAUUCAUAUUACAUUGUCUAUGAGGCGGACAUUAUAACAUAAUCUGCUUAUAUAAUAACACACAGCUGGACUGAUGUCACUAAGAAUCAGUG